CCCUUAGACGUUCUGGGCCGCACGCGCGCUACACUGACCAGUGCAACAAGCAUCCGUCCUUGGCCGACAGGCCCGGGCAAUCUUUGAACGCUGGUCGUGAUGGGGAUAGACUUUUGCAAUUUUUGGUCUUCAACGAGGAAUUCCUAGUAAACGCAAGUCAUCAACUUGCAUUGAUUACGUCCCUGCCCUUUGUACACACCGCCCGUCGCACCUACCGAUUGAAUGGUCCGGUGAAAUCUUCGGAUCUGAGAGAUGUCUGAUUAAUUUCGGACGCCUUUUGGAAAAGUUGCUUAAACCUUACCAUUUAGAGGAAGGUGAAGUCGUAACA
This 328-nucleotide ribosomal RNA is filed under the name uncultured eukaryote. RNAcentral's name for it is "partial 18S ribosomal RNA". It matches the Rfam family "Eukaryotic small subunit ribosomal RNA", at positions 1470 to 1796 of the family's 1831-position model. The record is from RNAcentral.